UUGAAUAUGGUUGUUAGAAUUAUAGAAAGCCUGUAUAUUUUUUCUUGUAGGAAUAUACUCUAAGAAGCUUUGAUGGUGAUCUUGCAAGAAGAAGAACCCCAUAUUCUCAGAUGCACCUGCUCAGAGUAGAGGUCCCAUGAUGUUUUGAAAUAAGAUAGUCUGAACUGUGUCACUUGAAUGCCACCAAAAUGCAUUAUGCUUUAAGAGACAUAGAUAAGAAGCAGAGGAUGUAUUUAACAGCGCCUUGCUCUCCCUGAACCAUAGAUUCGGACAACUGAAGAGUUCUCUCAUCUUUCUCAGUUCUGUACCGAGAAGAGAACACUAGUACAGCCAUGCAGUUGAGCACACGUGUAACUACAGUGUGGAUUCUCACACUGUAUGUCAGCUUUGUUCAAACAAGUGUGAAAAUGCAGUAGAGCAUUAUGGGCUGGAACUUGAGCUUCCGGUGAGAAGCAAGUUCGUGGGGAAGAUGCCAUAUUCCCGGGCUGAGAAGUAUAAUAAUAUAACAGAAAGACCUGGAGGCACAUCUUCACAAACUUUGUGUGUCAAAAGAAGAAAAAUAAAAUCCCUUCAUGUUGGCACCAAGGAAGACUUGAAGGGACUGGAGAAAUGGUUCACUGGCUAAGAGUUCUCAUGUCCCUCACAGGGCAUCUAAGUUCAGUUCACAGCAUCCAUGCUGGGAAGCUCAUAACAGCCUGUAACUCCAACUCCAGAAGAUUCGAUGCUAUCUUCUGCUGUAUACUCAGAGACAUGCACAA
RNAcentral lists this small RNA (758 nucleotides) under Rattus norvegicus (Norway rat). Its description in RNAcentral is "uncharacterized LOC108350593". The record is from RNAcentral. Lineage: Eukaryota; Metazoa; Chordata; Mammalia; Rodentia; Muridae.